RNAcentral lists this ribosomal RNA (303 nucleotides) under uncultured bacterium. RNAcentral describes it as "partial 16S ribosomal RNA". It matches the Rfam family "Bacterial small subunit ribosomal RNA", at positions 507 to 809 of the family's 1533-position model. The record is from RNAcentral.
AGCAGUAGCCGCGGUAAUACGGAGGGGGCUAGCGUUGUUCGGAAUUACUGGGCGUAAAGCGCACGUAGGCGGCUUGGUAAGUUAGAGGUGAAAGCCCGGAGCUCAACUCCGGAAUUGCCUUUAAGACUGCCGAGCUAGCAGGUGAGAGAGGUAAGUGGAAUUCCGAGUGUAGAGGUGAAAUUCGUAGAUAUUCGGAAGAACACCAGUGGCGAAGGCGGCUUACUGGCUCAUACUGGACGCUGAGGUGCGAAAGCGUGGGGAGCAAACAGGAUUAGAUACCCCCGUAGUCCCUGUCUCUUAUAA